Molecule: ribosomal RNA, 253 nt
Filed under: uncultured bacterium
Lineage: Bacteria
Description: partial 16S ribosomal RNA
Rfam family: Bacterial small subunit ribosomal RNA
Source: RNAcentral
UACAGAGGUCCCAAGCGUUGUUCGGAUUCACUGGGCGUAAAGGGUGCGUAGGUGGUGAGGUAAGUCGGAUGUGAAAUCUCCGAGCUCAACUCGAAAAUGGCAUUGGAAACUACCUUGCUCGAGGGUUGGAGGGGGGACUGGAAUGCUUGGUGUAGCAGUGAAAUGCGUAGAUAUCAAGCGGAACACCAGUGGCGAAGGCGAGUCCCUGGACAACUCCUGACACUGAGGCACGAAAGCUAGGGGAGCAAACAGG